This 58-nucleotide transfer RNA is filed under the name Neotoma lepida (desert woodrat). It matches the Rfam family "tRNA", at positions 8 to 63 of the family's 71-position model. From Rfam's summary of the family: Transfer RNA (tRNA) molecules are approximately 80 nucleotides in length. The record is from Rfam by way of RNAcentral. Lineage: Eukaryota; Metazoa; Chordata; Mammalia; Rodentia; Cricetidae.
UGGCUCAGUGGUUAAGAGCACUGACUGCUAUUCCAGAGGACCUGGGUUCAGUUCCCAG